RNAcentral lists this ribosomal RNA (301 nucleotides) under uncultured bacterium. Its description in RNAcentral is "partial 16S ribosomal RNA". It matches the Rfam family "Bacterial small subunit ribosomal RNA", at positions 509 to 809 of the family's 1533-position model. The record is from RNAcentral.
CAGUAGCCGCGGUAAUACGGAGGGAGCUAGCGUUGUUCGGAAUCACUGGGCGUAAAGCGCACGUAGGCGGCUAUUCAAGUCAGGGGUGAAAGCCCGGGGCUCAACCCCGGAACUGCCUUUGAAACUAGAUAGCUUGAAUCUUGGAGAGGCGAGUGGAAUUCCGAGUGUAGAGGUGAAAUUCGUAGAUAUUCGGAAGAACACCAGUGGCGAAGGCGACUCGCUGGACAAGUAUUGACGCUGAGGUGCGAAAGCGUGGGGAGCAAACAGGAUUAGAUACCCGAGUAGUCCCUGUCUCUUAUAA